GGGUUAGUAGGUUGGUCAUGCCUCUGGUAUGUACUGGUCUCACUGAUUCCUCCUUCCUGAUGAACCUUAAUGCCAUUAAUUUGGUGUUGCGGGGAAUUUGGACUGUUACUUUGAAAAAAUUAGAGUGUUUAAAGCAAGCUAACGCUUGAAUACAUUAGCAUGGAAUAAUGAAAUAGGACUUUUGUACUAUUUUGUUGGUUUUUAGGAUUGACGUA
RNAcentral lists this ribosomal RNA (215 nucleotides) under Campeiostachys nutans. RNAcentral describes it as "Elymus nutans partial small subunit ribosomal RNA". The stretch from base 40 to 215 matches the Rfam family "Eukaryotic small subunit ribosomal RNA", at positions 686 to 864 of the family's 1831-position model. The record is from RNAcentral. Lineage: Eukaryota; Viridiplantae; Streptophyta; Magnoliopsida; Poales; Poaceae.